AGUCUUUCUUUAUUGAAUGGGGAAAACAAAAUCUUGGCGAAGCCAUCGUUAAGACAUUAAGGUUCGGCCAAGCAAAUUUAUUUACAUAUCAAGAGUCAGACCAGUUGGUUGAUAACUGCGGGAAAAGAAAAGUCAUCGAAUAGUCAGCUUUGAAGUGUUCAUAGCUAUUGUGACUAGAUUGUCGGACUCUUGCUUUCAAUUGGAACUUCGUUGGAGAUCACACAUCUGACAAUCAUUUGGUAGUUAAUUGUUUAUUUUGGCUUGGUUAUAAAUGACAUGUAAAUGGGGUCUUGGUUAUGUAUGUUAUAAGUAUUAUAAAUAUGAUUUUUUCCAUUUUAAUUA
This is a long non-coding RNA of Gossypium arboreum, 342 nucleotides long. RefSeq lists it as uncharacterized. The record is from RefSeq and is a predicted model, not a curated record. The transcript is spliced from 3 exons. Lineage: Eukaryota; Viridiplantae; Streptophyta; Magnoliopsida; Malvales; Malvaceae.